RNAcentral lists this ribosomal RNA (253 nucleotides) under uncultured bacterium. RNAcentral describes it as "partial 16S ribosomal RNA". It matches the Rfam family "Bacterial small subunit ribosomal RNA", at positions 524 to 776 of the family's 1533-position model. The record is from RNAcentral.
GACGAACCGUCCUAACGUUAUUCGGAAUCACUGGGCUUAAAGGGCGCGUAGGCGGGCUUUCAAGUCCGGGGUGAAAUCUUUCGGCUUAACCGGAAAAUUGCCUCGGAUACUGGGAGUCUGGAGGGAGGUAGGGGCGAGCGGAACUUCCGGUGGAGCGGUGAAAUGCGUUGAUAUCCAGCGGAACUCCGGUGGCGAAGGCGGCUCGCUGGGCCCUCUCUGACGCUGAGGCGCGAAAGCCAGGGGAGCGAACGGG